GUAGUCGUGGCCGAGUGGUUAAGGCGAUGGACUAGAACUCCCGCGUAGGUUCGAAUCCUACCGACUACG
This is a non-coding RNA of Nephila pilipes (giant wood spider), 69 nucleotides long. Lineage: Eukaryota; Metazoa; Arthropoda; Arachnida; Araneae; Nephilidae. The record is from the annotation of a GenBank genome assembly.